CAGCCGCCGCGGGAAUACGGAGGGUGCAAGCGUUAAUCGGAAUUACUGGGCGUAAAGCGCACGCAGGCGGUCUGACAAGUCAGAUGUGAAAUCCCCGGGCUUAACCUGGGAACUGCAUUUGAAACUGUCAGGCUGGAGUCUUGUAGAGGGGGGUGGAAUUCCAGGUGUAGCGGUGAAAUGCGUAGAGAUCUGGAGGAAUACCGGUGGCGAAGGCGGCCCCCUGGACAAAGACUGACGCUCAGGUGCGAAAGCGUGGGGAGCAAACAGGAUUAGAUACCCCCGUUGUCCCUGUCUCUUAUAC
RNAcentral lists this ribosomal RNA (301 nucleotides) under uncultured bacterium. Its description in RNAcentral is "partial 16S ribosomal RNA". It matches the Rfam family "Bacterial small subunit ribosomal RNA", at positions 509 to 807 of the family's 1533-position model. The record is from RNAcentral.